UACGUAGGGGGCAAGCGUUGUCCGGAUUUAUUGGGCGUAAAGAGCGUGUAGGCGGCUUGGUAGGUCCGCUGUGAAAACUCGAGGCUCAACCUCGAGAUGUCGGCGGAAACCACUUGGCUAGAGUCCGGAAGAGGAGAGUGGAAUUCCUGGCGUAGCGGUGAAAUGCGCAGAUAUCAGGAAGAACACCUAUGGCGAAGGCAGCUCUCUGGGACGGUACUGACGCUGAGACGCGAAAGCGUGGGGAGCGAACAGG
Molecule: ribosomal RNA, 253 nt
Filed under: uncultured bacterium
Lineage: Bacteria
Description: partial 16S ribosomal RNA
Rfam family: Bacterial small subunit ribosomal RNA
Source: RNAcentral